UUAUUUUUAUUAUGGGGGGGAGGCUUAAUUAGCUGUGUAGGAGGAAUCUUGUGAUUAGCCAACACUAAUACAGCAAAAUAGCUUUUAUCUUUUAAAGCACAGGGAA
Tinamus guttatus (white-throated tinamou) is the source of this 106-nucleotide non-coding RNA. The record is from RefSeq and is a predicted model, not a curated record. NCBI's taxonomy places the organism in Eukaryota, Metazoa, Chordata, Aves, Tinamiformes, Tinamidae.